This 260-nucleotide ribosomal RNA is filed under the name Polyplax chinensis. RNAcentral's name for it is "partial large subunit ribosomal RNA". Lineage: Eukaryota; Metazoa; Arthropoda; Insecta; Psocodea; Polyplacidae. The record is from RNAcentral.
GGUAGCAUAAUAAUUUGCCUUUUAAUUGAAGGCUAGAAUGAAAGGGUUAACAAAACCUAGACUGUCUCUCUUAUAAAGAGAAUAAUUUCAACUUUAAGUGAAAAUGCUUAAAUUUGUUAGAGGGACGAGAAGACCCUGUAGAUCUUUCCUAUAAAUAGGAGCCCUAUCUUUAGGUUACCUGGGAGGGGGCUUAAAAUUAACUUUAGAUUAGUUUAAAGAAUUAUCUUCAAAAUUGUUGAUCCUUCAUUUUGGAUAAAUUG